RNAcentral lists this small RNA (3075 nucleotides) under Pan troglodytes (chimpanzee). RNAcentral describes it as "processed transcript". Lineage: Eukaryota; Metazoa; Chordata; Mammalia; Primates; Hominidae. The record is from RNAcentral.
CUUCAUGGACACCCACCCAGAUUCACUGGAGAGCAAAGCCUACCAGAGUCCCUGUCAGCAGCACUGUUUCUAGAAGCUUCCACAUGAGCGGACAGCAUGGAGUCCUGGGGGCUAAUGAAGCAGCAACGUCAGCAUGAGCACAGGCAGGGAGAGGCAAGAGGAGCAGAGUAAAGGGGAACGUUCUCUUCAUUCUUCCACCUGCCUGUCCCCCAGCCGACACGUCCCUUCCGUUCCCUGCAAGGCCAUUUCCAGGGAGGCUUACGAAGACAGCAGAUGAUGGUGAUGGAAGGAGUCUGGGUGCUGAGCUGUGCCAUGGACCUGGAGAGAAACUGAGUCCGAGGGAUGUCAACAUGUCAAGUCCAUGAAAUAUUAGUGGGCUGGAAUUCUAGCUGCCUGAAAGAAGACAUUCCUCACAAAAGACCUCACAAUCAUAUCCGUGGAACUAUAGCACUGGGCUCUCCAGAUGGUGCUACAGGAAGACCUCCAGAAAUUUGACAAUCCUCUAUUCAAGGCCCUACCACAGAGACACACAGGAAUGGAACUCAGAAUCACAAACAAACAAACUUUGAUCCAAGAAAGAAAAUGAUCUUUAAAAAGACCCUCGUUUCAUGCUGGCCAAUGCUGAGAAAAUCUGCUCUGGAGGAUAUUUGGAGACACUGAUUAAAAGGUAGUACCAUCACCACAUAUUUAACUUCCCCCUCUUUUCCCUCUGCUUCUAGGAGUAGAGAAACCAACAAAACCAACUAGAGAGAGAUGGUAAGUUUCAAACAAUCUGUCCCCCACCCCACCACUAUUCACACCUUUCACAAGGGCCCAGCCACAAAGCCAGUGCAACAUGACAUCAAUCAUCAGCAAAGUGGAGAUGGUUGUCCCAGUGGAGGGGGAUUCUUCGUGUUACGUAGAUAGCAAGCACGAUGCAAAAGUGUUGAAGCAGGAGUGUAAAGAAUAAUUAAAACACCUGCCCAAGACCCAAGCAAGGAUAGGAUUUCCCAGACAUUCCCGAGGGAGAAAAUGCCAUGUCCUUUCCUUCUGGUGUCACAUCAGAAUCUGAAGGCUGCUAGAGAAGAGAGAGAAACAUGAAAGUGAGUCCCAUGCUGAUUGUUGUUGAAAUACCUGGAAAGAAACUGGCAAAGACUAUCCAAGGGAUGCUAAGACAUGUCCGAACUUACAAAACAGUAGAACCUGAAUAGGAAUUUGAAGUUGUCUAUACUCAGCCACACCCUGCCAUUUUACAGACUGUCUUCUCUGGGGAAGUUAGCUGUCAUGUUGUGAGGAUACUCAAGCAGUUUAUAAAGAGGUUCAUGUCACAAGGAAUGGAGGCCUCCUGCCAACAGCCAUGUAAAGGAGCCAUCUAGGAAACAGAUUCUCCAGCCCCAGUCAGACCUUCAGAUGAUUACAGCCCCUACCAACCUUCUGACUGCGGUGGAAGGAAAGUUCCGGAACCAGAACCACCCAGGUUAAUGUGGGUAAGUCUCAUCCAAUCCUUUGAAGGCCUGAAGAACAAAGAGUGAGGUUUCUGGAAGAAGAAAAUUUUACCUCAAGCCUGCAAUGUAGAAAUUCUGCUUGAGUUUCCUGCCUGCUGGCCUGCCCUGUGGAAUUCGGAGUCAAGAAGGAGUCUUGUAAGCAUUAACUGAGAUAGUAUAUGAAGAGUGCUUUUGCACCGAGUGAACCUUCAAUCAACUGUACUAGUUUGUAUGCCUGGAAGAGCUGCUAUAUGGGAUCAGAAAGAAAAAUAAGGUGCAUACCCCAGAAAAAAAUACUUGCAUAUGAGUACUAGGAGCUGCAUAACAAUGUUCACGGCAGCAGUAUUCAUGGCAGUGAAAAAUGAAAAGAACUGAAAUGCCCAUUGAUAAAAACGUCUACUUAUUUGUGUCAUCUUUGCACAGUGGAAUUGUGCGAGUGGAAAUGAGUGAUCUACAGCUAGGAGAAGCAGCAGAGCUCAAUCUCAAAAAAUAAUGUUGUGUGGAAAAAGCUAACCUCAGAACACUUUGCGGCUCUAUCUUAGCAAACCAGGAGAGAAAUUCUCCUGAUGGCCUUGAAGAAGCAAACAGUCACCUGGUUAAGCCCCUGUGGAUAGUGCCAAGUGGCAGGAAAGUGGGAGCCGCCUCUAGGACCUGAGGAUUAAAGUCAGUAAGAGCUGGGACCUCACUCAUGCAGACUCGAGGACAUGAAUUCAACCAACAACUUGAAUGAGCUUGGAAGUGGAUUCUUCCCUAGUCCAGUCUUCAGAAAUUAAGAAUGUUCCCAAAGAAUGAUGGAGACAUUUCAAAAGGAUACAGAAGCCAGAUUGUGGGCGCUUCUACUGGCCAACUCUGGGACAUCGUGGACAUCAAAAUAAAUUUGUAAUAAUAAAGGAUUAUAGCCUAUUAGUUAAAUCAGAUUUUUCUGAUUUAACUAAAUGAGUAGGAGGAAAAGAAAGCUCUUCCUUAUAUUAGAAAGUCAAUUAAUAAAUGCAGAAAGGAAUGAAAAAAUUAGAAAGGCCACCAUUUGGCAACCAUGGCAGGCAGAAUGGGGAGUAUGCCUCCAGACAGUAAUUCCUUUCAAACUGGUUUAUAGGAACUCACUGAGCUUGCUGAUCAACCUCUGAGAGGCAAAGUUUCUGAAUUUUGAACUACUGAUUAUAUAAACUUAGGCAGAGACAUGCUUCAUUAUUUAAUAGGACUGUGUCAAAAGCCUACUAUUAGGAUGAUGUGUUGGGUGUGGAACAGGGUCUCUUCCUGCCAGGAACACUGGUGAUUUCACUCCGUGUUCAGGCUGAUCUUUGAAGUUGAAGACAAGCAGAAGAAUCCUUCUAAAAUUUAGCCAUGCCCAUAGGCUGGGAGGGACACUGCUCCAUUCAGAGGCAGCAAAGCACAUUACUGUAUCUCCUAGAGAGCUUUGAGCAGUCUAGUGCACAUGGAGAAACUUAGUAAAUGUUUGUUGAAUUAAUGAAUGAACAAAUCAAUGGACCAAGUCAGGGAUAAGUCUUACAUUUGUCAUCUAGGUGAUUAAGAAAGGAAGAAGUAUCUGUUUCAAGAGGAUUACAAUCUAACUGUACUCCAAUAGUAAAAUUUACUCUUUUGGAAUCUGAAGACA